AUACGUAGGGAGCGAGCGUUGUCCGGAAUUACUGGGUGUAAAGGGUGCGUAGGCGGGGAUGCAAGUCAGAUGUGAAAUGUAUGGGCUCAACCCAUGAACUGCAUUUGAAACUGCAACUCUUGAGUGAGGUAGAGGUAAGCGGAAUUCCUAGUGUAGCGGUGAAAUGCGUAGAUAUUAGGAGGAACAUCGGUGGCGAAGGCGGCUUACUGGGCCUUUACUGACGCUGAGGCACGAAAGCGUGGGGAGCAAACAGGAUUAGAUACCCUGGUAGUCCACGCUGUAAACGAUGAAUACUAGGUGUGGGGGGACUGACCCCCUCCGUGCCGCAGUUAACACAAUAAGUAUUCCACCUGGGGAGUACGAUCGCAAGAUUGAAACUCAAAUGAAUUGACGGGG
RNAcentral lists this ribosomal RNA (396 nucleotides) under uncultured bacterium. RNAcentral describes it as "partial 16S ribosomal RNA". It matches the Rfam family "Bacterial small subunit ribosomal RNA", at positions 523 to 918 of the family's 1533-position model. The record is from RNAcentral.